AACUUACAUCCAUAUAUCACAGAAAUCCUGUAAAUGACAUCCACAAGAGCCAAAAAGAAAAAGGAACACAAAGGGGCUUGACCCCUCCAACAAUUCAAUCAAGGGAGUGCCCUUCAGAUACUUCGCUUCCAUAGUCAACUUCAUCAAGAAUGCUUGGAUGCAUAUUGCUUCCUUAGACCUUAAUUCAUGCCACCUGCAACCUAAAAGAACACGUAUAAGCAAUCACAUAAUGUCUUCAGAAAAAAUAUAUAUCCCUCCAACUUAAAAGGUGAUCACUGAGAAUUUUGUAAAGAAGUAAUAGUCUUGUAUGUAAGCAUGAAGAAGAUCACAAGAAUUGAACCAAUGGACUCACUAGAUGAUACAUGAUAUGCAUAGACUGGGAACUAAUGGAGGAAUGGACCAUAGAAAUAAUAUUACAUAAGAAUUAUGUCAUUCAGAAUGCACAACCAGUUCCAUGGUUUUCAGCACAUAAGCUGUCAGAAUUUCUGUCAGAGUUCAGUCCAGUUUCAAUGAACUAAUAAUGUUCAUGAAGAAGAAUUUUAGCGCAUAAGCAACAUAUAUAAGCUAACGACUAAGAAAUUCAUUUCAGCAUCCAAAUGGAUGGUCAGGUAACAAAAACAGAACAGAAGUACAGGAUUAAGAAAUUGGAUGGUAAAAUGAUUGAAUGUCUCAGUUUUAUUGUAGUUUGUUCGAAUUGGAGAAAAAUCUCAGUUGAGAAAGGUCUACAUGUUCUUCUAAACAUAAUGCUGACGGGAUUAAGAAUUGGACGAACCAGGUAGUGGUGCUUAAUCCCGUCCCUCCCUGUUAUCUACUUAUCAAAUGGGAAAGAUGUUUGAAUCUUUGAAUGGCUUUCAACUAACAGUGAUAAACACACAUGAAAUUCAUCUAUGCAAUCCACUUUCAGAAAGACAACUUUGCUUCCAUCUCUUCAGAUACCGGAGGCAUAUGUAGAGAAGGAACAUCAUAGUAACCUUAACUUCAAAUUCAACCAAAACAAAAAAGGAGGUGGACUGCAUCUGAAACUUGUUUUUAGUCCAGUACUAGACAUCACAUACUACAAAGCAAGUUGUUUGCACUUCAUUUUACAACUAUUAAUUCAAGUGCUUGAUAUGCUCCUUAUAGUAAGAGCUUAUCUUAUCCAAACCACACAACCAGAUUCUAAAACAAGCUAACAACUUCCCACGCAUUCAAUACAGUUUUGCUUGUUACACGUUGUAAAGCCACCAGACUCUUU
This 1234-nucleotide long non-coding RNA is filed under the name Aquilegia coerulea. RNAcentral describes it as "long non-coding RNA (ACOE_LNC000978)". The record is from RNAcentral. Lineage: Eukaryota; Viridiplantae; Streptophyta; Magnoliopsida; Ranunculales; Ranunculaceae.